RNAcentral lists this long non-coding RNA (504 nucleotides) under Rosa chinensis. RNAcentral's name for it is "sRNA RchiOBHm_Chr1g0340021". Lineage: Eukaryota; Viridiplantae; Streptophyta; Magnoliopsida; Rosales; Rosaceae. The record is from RNAcentral.
GAAAUAAGGGAAAAGGAAGACUGAGUGUUUAUCAACACUUAACCAACAGAGCUCCCCAAACCUCUCAAAAGCCAAAAGGGUCUUCAACCCCAUCGCCACUGCCAUAAAAAACCCACUUGAUCCUCGCUUCCACAACACCGUCCUCCAUCCUACGCAGCAAUCUCCACCGUCAACUAGGGACUUAACCAAAUAGCCUUGGUCCAUGGAAGCUUUCUGUACAUGCAGAAUUGCAAAGUCGCAGUUCACCCAAAUCGUUCUUGUCCUUGUUAGUUUUAUCAUGUCAUGUGCAAAUGGUCUGAUGAAGAAUACGAAGUAGUAGUUUUGGAUCUGUCCUCCUCCGCUGACUUAAUCUUUGCCAUUGCAACUACCGACCUCUGGAUCUAGAUAAUUGACUUAAGAUUUCUUGUGCAAUUCCUUUGCCCAGAACUUUUCUAGAUCAGUUCGUCCUCUGGGAGCAUGUAUUUUUGAAAUAGGAACCAUGUAUUUUGAAACAGUAACGAAGGA